GAUGAAGAACGUAGUGAAAUGCGAUAAGUAAUGUGAAUUGCAGAAUUCCGUGAAUCAUCGAAUCUUUGAACGCACAUUGCGCCCCCUGGUAUUCCGGGGGGCAUGCCUGUCCGAGCGUCAUUGCAACCUUCAAGCGCGGCUUGUGUGUUGGGUCUCGUCCCCCGUGGACGGGCCCGGAAGGCAGUGGCGGCGUCCCGACAUGGUGCCCGAGCGUAUGGGAAUCCUCUUCCGCUCGAAUCGGCCCAUGCGGCGCUGGUCGUAACCAAAUUUUUUACCGGUUGACCUCGGAUCAGGUAGGGAUACCCGCUGAACUUAAGCAUAUCAAUAAGCGGAGGA
Molecule: unclassified non-coding RNA, 336 nt
Filed under: soil metagenome
Description: partial contains 5.8S ribosomal RNA, internal transcribed spacer 2, and large subunit ribosomal RNA
Rfam family: 5.8S ribosomal RNA (bases 1-120)
Source: RNAcentral